UGACUGUAAGCAGUAGGAUUUGGAACACUGAUGAGCGAAGAAAUAUCAACGUGUAGAGUGAAUCGGUCGGAGGUGGGGAAGUCGCUGAAUUGCUGAAGUGUAUGUCUAAAUGCGUGUGGAAAGGAGGAGUAAUGCUGCCUUGACUUUGAUUCCUGUGUUGGAAGGAAAACAUUUGGUAUGACGACGGCAGCGGCGGCGUUUAGAUACUUGGUACAACUCCACAGAGAUGUUCCCAAGGCGGCUAGAUUCUACUCGGAGGGCCUGGGAUUCACCAUUAGCGUUUGCACCCUUCGAUGGGCCGAGCUUCAUUCCGGCCCGCUCAAACUCGCUCUCUUGCACUCUCCCACCGCUAGGGACCAUGUUGAGCACAAGGAUUAUUCAUCACUCCUAUCAUUUACAGUGUCUGACGUGAAUAGUACUGUGAAUAAAUUGAUGGCCUUGGGUGCAGAACUGGAUGGUUCUAUCAAAUAUGAAACCCAUGGCAAGGUAGCAGCAAUGAGGUGUCCUGAUGGCCAUGUCUUAGGUCUAUACGAGCCUAAUUGUUAGAUGGAGAUGAAGUAAUCUUGAAUACCCAGAUCGGACAAUAUACUUACCAUGGAGCUGUUGUUUUCUCCAUAUCCUAGCAAGAAGGUUGGGCUAUUCCUCGGGAGAAAGGGAAUCCUUAAUGAAGAAAAAGAAAGAGGAGGCAGGCAAUGGAAGAAAAGAAUUUGAAGGUUUUAAGGUCUACUCCACUCCACAUUUGAGAUCUGCAGAGAUCACUUCACUUGGUCAGCAGGAACUGAUGUAAAAUUCUGCCCUACUUGACUGGAGUUUCGGUUGGUAUGAUGAGGUUUUCUGCAUCGGGCACCUAUAAGAGAAAGUAUCUACCAGUGUCUGGUUGAGACAUUUCUGGUGGGGAAGAAAAACCAACUUAAGAAGGGAUCCGGUUGGGGAAGGAAUGGUGAGUAUGCUUUGUUUAUAUAAAUAAGCAGUGCAAGCAACCAAGCAGCAAACUGCUGAUUCAACGAGUUACUGUAGUUUGCUUGCUUGCUUGAGUAAUUUUGGUGGAGAUGCAUGGCAUGGGACGAUGCCAUGCCAGCACUGCACUCUAAACACAUAACACCAAUUCCGCUAGCCUGAGAGAGAACUACUACAACUUGUCAUAUGUUGCUGCCGGCUGCCCCAAGCUAUGAGCAGCAUCGUAUCAUUUCAGAGCAACAAAUAUUAUAUGCAGGCCAGCCAGAACGCGAAACCCCUCAAGGCCAGGAAGAGAUGUGCAUUCUCCACUACCAACAUAUUUAUGCUGGCUGGCGGUCAGUGCUUUCAAUCUUCUUCACAUACAUGCAAACAUUACGAAUGAAAGGUGUCCUCCCCCUAUUCAUCUCAGAGGUGUGGGGCGAAAAGGGGAAGGACCAGCAUGAAGGAAUUUACAACAAUACAAAAGGUUUCUGUGUUAGGAAGAAGCCGUACGUGGUAAUGCAAAACUGCACUUGAGCACAAACAGGAGAUGAAUGAAUGCCGGAGAGUGGACGGAGGGCUCCAACAUCCAUCCAUCCGUGGUGGGGAUUAUCUGACUGACAGAGAGCAUUGUUUUGGUUUUGAAGUUGAAGAAGAAUAACAGCUUUCCAGCGUAACAAGACAAGACAGGAAAUAGACAAUAAGAGAGAGAGUGAGUGAGAGAUUGAUGUAGAGAGCGCAAGAGCAAUGAUUAAGAUCCAGGUGUGUUACUGCGACCAUAAAAUGACCUAAAUGGUGGCGGAUAGACAUUAGAUAGACAGACAGACAGACAGAUAGAUUGCCUGCCUUCAACUCUAACACAGCUAACUUCCAUCACAAACAUGAAAAUGGAAGUAACCACCUUUCUUGCUCUC
RNA transcript from Andrographis paniculata, 1850 nucleotides. RefSeq lists it as uncharacterized. The record is from RefSeq and is a predicted model, not a curated record. The transcript is spliced from 7 exons. NCBI's taxonomy places the organism in Eukaryota, Viridiplantae, Streptophyta, Magnoliopsida, Lamiales, Acanthaceae.